Nasonia vitripennis (jewel wasp) is the source of this 1759-nucleotide RNA transcript. It is a transcript of the gene named speckle-type POZ protein B-like, with no coding region annotated. Lineage: Eukaryota; Metazoa; Arthropoda; Insecta; Hymenoptera; Pteromalidae. The record is from RefSeq and is a predicted model, not a curated record. The transcript is spliced from 3 exons.
ACUGCUGCGUAAUGUUUUACGCUGCCAUUUCCUGAAGCGAGAAUGAAAUAUAAACAAAUUUAAUGUAUACAAAGGAUACCUCUGAUUCAUCGGCUAUUCGGCUUCAUUCUACUAUGCACACGUAUAGAGACCCUCUCACAUACUCACACGCUCUAAUUCUUACCAUAUACCUUUGGAGAAAAACCACAAUCAUACAAACAUUUAUUAUUAUUCUACUCUAUAAUAAAAAAAAAACUCGGCAAUUAGUCGAGCAGCAGAUUCUUCGUCAUUCCUACAGUUAUCUACAGUUACCGAGCGCAAAGUCAGCAAAAAAUGUAAACAAACCAAACCGUGCGUGCUGCGCCGUGUUUUGAGUUUUACAAACAGUUGCCGGUUGCGCAGUGUGAUCCGGUGUUCUGCACUUUUAGUCUUGAGAAUUGACUCUUCAGAGCAUUGCGUUUACAACUCGCUUAAAACAUCAGUUAAUUCGCAUAUAUACGAGUUUUCAGGCUUGAAAGUCAUAAAGCGAAAAAAGAAGAUGAUAUAAGAAUUGGUUCAGUCGUUACUUCCUUAGAAUUCCCGAGAUGUACCCGUCACCAACACCCGUCGGUCAAUUCAACCACGACAGAUCAACGUUCGUUUAUAUCAAUGGAACAUCCCGAACUUCAGCAGCUACAUGAACAAGAAGGCUACUUUAAACUCGCCAAUACUCAACACUUGCUACAACUUGAAAGGCUUCAGGCACCAGUUGCACAUGCAGCUGCAGCUCUACACGUGCGUAGGCGAGAUAGUUUUCAUAAAUAGCUUCUACAACGCGAAAAUCCCGAUCACCGCGGCCUGUGGCAUCCUAGACAACCGCGGAGUAGUGGUGCAGAAGAUACAUGGACGCGUACAUCGCUUUCAUCAAGUGGAACUUCCUGACGGAUCCGGCGAACGGAUUACUCGACGACGACACCCUGACUAUCUGGUGCAAGUUCAAAGCAGGAUCGACGGAUAAUCCGAUCGCCGUCGAAGGUGACGCGAGAAACAACAAGAACAAUAGCCUUCGUCUCGACGAGUUUGACGAGUUUGACGAAGGCCAUUGUUGACGUUAGCUUCGAAAUCGCGGACAAAAUCAUUACGGGCCACAAGUGUAUACUCGCCAAGAAAAGUCCCGUCUUCGCGGCUAUGUUCCAGUCGCAGAUGAAAGAAACUCAGGAGAACAAGGUAUUCAUCGAGGACAUCGAGCACGACGUCUUCGUCGAGAUGCUGCGCUUCAUCUACUCGGGGAAGGUGCGCCAUCUCGACCGCAUCGCCAAGAAACUUCUGGCCACCGCUGACAGGUAUCUGCUGGAGAAUCUGAAGAAGCUCUGCGAAAUCGAGCUGUGCAAACAACUGUGUGUCGAGAACGCACCGGAGAUCUUGGAGCUGGCCGAUAAACUUCGCGCGGAGACGCUUAAGAACAGCGCGAUCAAGUAUAUCGUCGGUAAUAAGAAGAUUAUUGUCGAUAGACCCGAGUUUCGCGCACUGACGCACAAACUCAUUUACGAGGUCUGCAAGGCUAUGGUCUGACGAGUGAAAAGUAUUUUUUAUCAACGUUACGAUAAGUUCAAUUAAUCGUGCACGAGAGAAUUAAUCUUUCGUUGUUUAUAAAUUAGUAUGUUAUUUAUCAUUGCAUGUCCACUUUUUAAUUUUUCAUACUAUACAUUACUAUAAUUUUUAUAGUUUAUAUGUUUUUACGUUCGAUGUAUCGAGACGAAUUUUAAUCUACAAUAAAGAAGUUUGAAAAAAUUCAAUCAAA